Molecule: non-coding RNA, 255 nt
Organism: Vicia faba (fava bean)
Lineage: Eukaryota; Viridiplantae; Streptophyta; Magnoliopsida; Fabales; Fabaceae
Source: the annotation of a GenBank genome assembly
AUGCAAAGAGGUCGCUUUCAGAAUUGGAAACUCAUAAACCUUCAGUCACAAGGCAUCGAUCUUACCGUUGCGCCAAGACUUGCCCUCAACAAGAACAAGAAACGGAUCAAGAACCUUCUGUCACAAGGCACCAACCUCACCGUUGUGCCAAGACUUGCCCUCAACAAGAGCAAGAAACGGAUCAAGAACCUUCUGUCACAAGGCACCGACCUUACUGUUUGCCAAGACUCGCCUUCAAAGUUUCUUUCCUGCUAA